CUCAUAUUAUCAUUAAUGAUAGAAUACUGUUCCAAUGGUCUUCUAUCGUUACUAUCAGAACAAACACAUUUUAUUAAAUUCCUAAAAGGAGUCGAGCUGAUAGAUAACGAAAUGGGCUUCGAUCAUCUACCUUUAAUAACGCCAGCAACGGGAUAUAUAUUUUCCAUAAUACUAGUUACACAAACAUUUAUUGGGUUCACACGUGUUUUUAUUCUUAGAAAUAGCAUUUAUUUUGUAUUGUCUUCGACGAUAAUGACGCUGGCAUCCGCUCUUAAUUGCUUAUUGUCAUCUUUGCCUCUCGAUUUGCUACGUCUCCGUAUAAGGUUGCUUCGACAAGCCUUGGCAAGUAACUUGAGCCUAUCGAUAAAUAAUACAGAGGAUAAAAUAAAAAUACUUUGGGAUAGCUUAAGAUUGUACAAAAAGUUGAUUGACAAAGUUACCAGUACAUUCCACUGGCAUAAACUGCAGAUAACUAUUACCACGUGUUGCUGUUUCUUUUCAUUUAUUAUAAACGGUUAUUAUGUUUCCUUAGCAUUGAAAUAUUCCAAAGAUAGUGGAGUCGGAGUCGAUAAAGUGUAUACCAUAAUUGGCUUUGUUUUGUUUACCGCACCAUCUUGUCUACCAGCGCUUUUCUGCGAGCUAGCUCAUCGGGAAGUCGCUAAACUAAAAGCUGCCGUUGGUAACUUGCUGCUCCUUUGCGAAGAUGAUGAACUACAAUCGGAGCUGCAGCUAGCGGUUGAAUAUUUGGAUCAUCGUCCCUUCAGAGUGUCCAUCUACCAAGUGUGGUCUCUCGACGGCUCUUUCAUACUAACUUUCGUCGGCCUCUGCACCACCUAUCUUAUCACCAUCGUGCAGAUAUUUGGCAUCAUUUAGUUUAAAGUCA
This is a long non-coding RNA of Cydia splendana, 883 nucleotides long. RefSeq lists it as uncharacterized. The record is from RefSeq and is a predicted model, not a curated record. The transcript is spliced from 4 exons. Lineage: Eukaryota; Metazoa; Arthropoda; Insecta; Lepidoptera; Tortricidae.